UGGGGAAUUUUGGACAAUGGGCGAAAGCCUGAUCCAGCAAUGCCGCGUGUGUGAAGAAGGCCUUCGGGUUGUAAAGCACUUUUGUCCGGAAAGAAAUCCUUGGCUCUAAUACAGUCGGGGGAUGACGGUACCGGAAGAAUAAGCACCGGCUAACUACGUGCCAGCAGCCGCGGUAAUACGUAGGGUGCAAGCGUUAAUCGGAAUUACUGGGCGUAAAGCGUGCGCAGGCGGUUUGCUAAGACCGAUGUGAAAUCCCCGGGCUCAACCUGGGAACUGCAUUGGUGACUGGCAGGCUAGAGUAUGGCAGAGGGGGGUAGAAUUCCACGUGUAGCAGUGAAAUGCGUAGAGAUGUGGAGGAAUACCGAUGGCGGAGGCAGCCCCCUGGGCCAAUACUGACGCUCAUGCACGAAAGCGUGGGGAGCAAACAGGAUUAGAUACCCUGGUAGUCCACGCCCUAAACGAUGUCAACUAGUUGUUGGGGAUUCAUUUCCUUAGUAACGUAGCUAACGCGUGAAGUUGACCGCCUGGGGAGUACGGUCGCAAGAUUAAAACUCAAAGGAAUUGACGGGGU
This 571-nucleotide ribosomal RNA is filed under the name uncultured bacterium. RNAcentral describes it as "partial 16S ribosomal RNA". It matches the Rfam family "Bacterial small subunit ribosomal RNA", at positions 355 to 919 of the family's 1533-position model. The record is from RNAcentral.